RNAcentral lists this long non-coding RNA (1267 nucleotides) under Triticum aestivum (bread wheat). RNAcentral describes it as "long non-coding RNA (TAES_LNC004307)". The record is from RNAcentral. Lineage: Eukaryota; Viridiplantae; Streptophyta; Magnoliopsida; Poales; Poaceae.
GAAACAUCAAGGUAUAUAUAUGGUGUGCUUAUGCAAAAGCUGUUGAUGUGCACUUAUAUCCAUAUUCACGUCUAAGAUCGUCAACUGAGAUGUUUCUAUUGUAAAUGUUUCUGUUAUGUGUUGCUUGCUCAUUCAUGCUUUGUUAGAUCUUUUGCUCGAAUUGCGAUAUUUAUUGUGGGCAAAUGUCAAGUACAUAUUUGUUACUUUAUAUUCUAGUGUUGUUUGUACAUGCUUUCUGGCAAAUGUUCUGUUAGCUAAUUUGAAGAUAACAGUGAGUGCUAGUGCUUAAUGUUUCUGUUCAUAUAGCUAACCAGCUGCUGUUGUGCAUAAAAUUGCAGGAUCUUUGCGUGUAAGUUCUGGCUGUAGUGUGCUCUCACGUUGUACAUGCCCCUAUGUUUAGUAAGAUUAAAUCGCUAAUCUUAAUGAUGAAUGGUUAAGUUUUUCAAUUUGAAGCAGCACCUACUUUCUGGUCCUGUAGUGUUUAAACUGAUAAUUAUGAUGCAUUGGUCCAUAUGGCCUUGUUUUUUAAUGCAUAUAUAUGAUUUAGUUGACAAGCCUUGAUCUCAACCUCUGAAGUUUAACAAACUGGUCUAUAUUACUGAGGAUGUAUAAUGUAGAAGUAUAUAAACCAUAAAUUCAAGCUUCUGAUGUAGCAUGCUCAAUAUAUACUGUUAUAGAAUAGUGUGUUCUACAAAAGGUUGAAACAGCAUGGUCUCGGUCAUUUGUCGGAAGUAGAAACACUAAGGCUGACAUCUUUUACACCUCACUGUUUUAUUUGUUUUUUCUAAUUUAAUUUUGUGGAUAGUAAAUUUGCAAUUGUAUGCCCUUUGUAAAAAAAUGCAUUUUACGUUUCCAUGCCCUGUAGUGAUGAAGCAUGUGUCUCUGAUAUUCUGCAUGACUGAAAUGCUGAUAUCUUGUAUAAAUUUGGCUUUUGUGGGUAAUCCUUUUCCCUGCCACGUUCAGCUGCAUCACUAUGAUGCCCAUGAAGGGUGAUAGGAACCAUCUUCCUGCCGCCAUGAAGGGCCACUCGAAGCUGUCAAAAGGCACUUGUAUAGCUUGUGGAGGUGAUUAUACUUGUAGACACUUGUGGCUGUGAUUACAUUUGUAGAGCUUGUGGCUGUGAUUAGCAUUGUAACUAAGUUAUAUGAUGUAAUGGAAUUAUUUUGGCUGUUAUUUGAACUAUUAUGUGUGCUUUCUGUCUGUUCUGAUUUGAAUAUUGUUUUUUUAUUUACUGGUAAAUUGAAAACAUGGACCCACAUACUAGAAG